AUUGAACGCUGGCGGCAGGCCUAACACAUGCAACUCGAGCGGAUGAAGGGAGCUUGCUCCUGGAUUCAGCGGCGGACGGGUGAGUAAUGCCUAGGAAUCUGCCUGGUAGUGGGGGAUAACGUCCGGAAACGGGCGCUAAUACCGCAUACGUCCUGAGGGAGAAAGUGGGGGAUCUUCGGACCUCACGCUAUCAGAUGAGCCUAGGUCGGAUUAGCUAGUUGGUGGGGUAAAGGCCUACCAAGGCGACGAUCCGUAACUGGUCUGAGAGGAUGAUCAGUCACACUGGAACUGAGACACGGUCCAGACUCCUACGGGAGGCAGCAGUGGGGAAUAUUGGACAAUGGGCGAAAGCCUGAUCCAGCCAUGCCGCGUGUGUGAAGAAGGUCUUCGGAUUGUAAAGCACUUUAAGUUGGGAGGAAGGGCAGUAAGUUAAUACCUUGCUGUUUUGACGUUACCAACAGAAUAAGCACCGGCUAACUUCGUG
This 484-nucleotide ribosomal RNA is filed under the name uncultured bacterium. Its description in RNAcentral is "partial 16S ribosomal RNA". It matches the Rfam family "Bacterial small subunit ribosomal RNA", at positions 30 to 507 of the family's 1533-position model. The record is from RNAcentral.